GCAAAUGAAAAUGCUUGCCCUCCCAAACAUGCCGUAACUUGGGUUCUACCACACAAAUUAUCGCCUAUUUUUUCCUUUACGAAGUUAUCAUUUCCAUCGGUUUUGUCUCCCCACCUCUACUGCUCCACAUCAAACAAUGUCCGAUAACUUCUCGCCCUUUCGUCGUCCACAUCAUUAGCUCUGUCGUUUCGUGGUUUCAAGCAAAUUUUGCUUCUUUCUCCCCUGCAACAGUUUUUUUGUUCAAUGUUCUUUCUCUCUCUGCGACUGAGAGAUUAUAUUAAGCCAUUGUGGGAGUGCCUUUGAGGAAAAGCUAAAAUGGCAGUGCCCGAGGGUUCUUUCGCGACUGCUUUCGUAGCUCUUGUUUUCACUAUGAUUGCGUUACCGGCUGCUGUUGAGGCCCAGCCCUUCCCCGCCGCUACCCUCACAAGUGACGGCUUGCUCUUUCUCGCACUCUCUCUCGCUAUUAGUCUCUCUUUCUUUCUACAUGUUUAAGAUGAAAACGCCAUUUGAUUUCAUUUGUUAAUAUUUGAGCUUUUGAUGAGGGUGGCAAAAGCCGAACAUGAGCGUCGGUUGACCAAUGGUUUGCAUACGCAUAUAUGCCGCCGGGGCCGGUGUUGACCUACAUUGUUCACCAUCUGCUGAUUUCUGCUUCAGCUUUCGCGAUUUUUUUUCCUCUUUUUCCUUAAAAGGUUUGUCAAAGUAAGAAGAAUUAUUGUUCAACCAUGGCUCGUUUCAUUGAGCUUUGAAUGGAUGUAGUUAGAGUUAGACGAAUUAAUGUGAGUUUUGCUCUUUUUGUAGAUUUUGAUCAUGUAUGUUUCGUGGUCUCUUUGUUUCUUUCUUUUUGUCUAUAAAGCAUUAAAUCUUCCAUUUCUGCCUCAGUUUCCAUCAUGUCUUUGGUGGGGGUUUUCUCGUUUGUCUCACCGAACUUGAGUGACGGUUAACGCGGUGAGUAUGAGGAGAGUCGUAGAAGAGAGUUUAUAUAUGUGUUUGGUUAGGGUAGAAAUGUAUAAGGAGAAGAAUCCCUUCUCUCCAAGCUUAGAUUUUGGUAUGUAUGUGGCGCAGGUCUCGUCAUGGUAGCCAAUCAAGAGGCAUAAUAGUAGUCUAGGUAGGAUAUGAUGGGACAAAAGCAGAUUAGAUAAGGGAGAACUGAAUAGCUACUCUUGACGAAGUAAAUUGAAAGAGCUCCAUGUGUCGUGC
Molecule: long non-coding RNA, 1197 nt
Filed under: Gossypium barbadense (sea-island cotton)
Lineage: Eukaryota; Viridiplantae; Streptophyta; Magnoliopsida; Malvales; Malvaceae
Description: long non-coding RNA (GBAR_LNC019533)
Source: RNAcentral